Molecule: ribosomal RNA, 402 nt
Filed under: uncultured bacterium
Lineage: Bacteria
Description: bacterial SSU rRNA
Rfam family: Bacterial small subunit ribosomal RNA
Source: RNAcentral
UGGGGAAUAUUGGACAAUGGGCGCAAGCCUGAUCCAGCCAUGCCGCGUGAGUGAUGAAGGCCUUAGGGUUGUAAAGCUCUUUUAGCAGGGAAGAUAAUGACGGUACCUGCAGAAAAAGCCCCGGCUAACUUCGUGCCAGCAGCCGCGGUAAUACGAAGGGGGCUAGCGUUGCUCGGAAUUACUGGGCGUAAAGCGCACGUAGGCGGACUCUUAAGUCGGUGGUGAAAUCCUGGAGCUCAACUCCAGAACUGCCUUCGAUACUGGGAGUCUUGAGUUCGGGAGAGGUGAGUGGAACUGCGAGUGUAGAGGUGAAAUUCGUAGACAUUCGCAAGAACACCAGUGGCGAAGGCGGCUCACUGGCCCGAUACUGACGCUGAGGUGCGAAAGCGUGGGGAGCAAACA